ACGGGAGGCAGCAGUGGGGAAUAUUGGUCAAUGGGCGGGAGCCUGAACCAGCCAAGUAGCGUGAGGGAUGACUGCCCUACGGGUUGUAAACCUCUUUUGUUUGGGAAUAAAGGAGCCUACGUGUAGGCUUUUGCAUGUACCUUUCGAAUAGGCAUCGGUUAAUUCCGUGCCAGCAGCCGCGGUAAUACGGAAGAUGCGAGCGUUAUCCGGAUUUAUUGGGUUUAAAGGGAGCGUAGGCGGCCUUUUAAGUCUGCGGUCAAAUGUCAGGGCCCAACCUUGGCAUGCCGUGGAUACUGAUGGGCUUGAAUACACGCAAGGCAAGUGGAAUUCGUCGUGUAGCGGUGAAAUGCUUAGAUAUGACGAAGAACUCCGAUUGCGUAGGCAGCUGACCAAACCGUAAAUGACGCUCAUGCACGAAAGUGCGGGGAUCGAACAGGAUUAGAUACCCUGGUA
Molecule: ribosomal RNA, 453 nt
Filed under: uncultured Paraprevotella sp.
Lineage: Bacteria; Pseudomonadati; Bacteroidota; Bacteroidia; Bacteroidales; Prevotellaceae
Description: partial 16S ribosomal RNA
Rfam family: Bacterial small subunit ribosomal RNA
Source: RNAcentral